UACGAAGGGGGCUAGCGUUGCUCGGAAUCACUGGGCGUAAAGGGUGCGUAGGCGGGUCUUUAAGUCAGGGGUGAAAUCCUGGAGCUCAACUCCAGAACUGCCUUUGAUACUGAAGAUCUUGAGUUCGGGAGAGGUGAGUGGAACUGCGAGUGUAGAGGUGAAAUUCGUAGAUAUUCGCAAGAACACCAGUGGCGAAGGCGGCUCACUGGCCCGAUACUGACGCUGAGGCAUGAAAGCGUGGGGAGCAAACAGG
RNAcentral lists this ribosomal RNA (253 nucleotides) under uncultured bacterium. Its description in RNAcentral is "partial 16S ribosomal RNA". It matches the Rfam family "Bacterial small subunit ribosomal RNA", at positions 524 to 776 of the family's 1533-position model. The record is from RNAcentral.